UUUUUAUUAACCAAAUAAGGGCCCCAGGAGGGCAUAUAGCAUACAGACAAUAUUAUUAUAAACAAUAACAUAUGCAAUACACAGACAAUACAAGAUAUAUAACAAGUGUUAACAAAUUAAUAAAAUAAAAGUAGCAAUGUAUUAUUAUUCAAUGAAUACUUUGUUGACAUCAGUGACUCAAGUGCACCCGGUAAGUGCAUUUUCACUUUGAAAAGACCAACAAGAGGCAUUAGUAGUUUGUGGGGAGAAAAUAUAAAAAAAAAAAUAAAAAAAAAAAAACAAUUUAAGCACUCGCACAUUUGACCAUGAGGUAUACUGCAAAUAACAAGUAUUAUUGUAUAGCAAUAUAAUAUUUCCCACAGAACGUAACCAAAAGUAAGCGUGCAAUAAAUUCUAUUAUUGCACUAGUUCAAUAAAUUUUCAAAAUUCAUGACGUCAUCAACGUUUAAAUCUUAGUUUAAGCCAAUUUUUACUGUCAAAUAUUAUAUUGCUAUACAAUAAAAGG
Molecule: long non-coding RNA, 505 nt
Filed under: Mytilus galloprovincialis (Mediterranean mussel)
Lineage: Eukaryota; Metazoa; Mollusca; Bivalvia; Mytilida; Mytilidae
Source: RNAcentral